GACGAACGCUGGCGGCAUGCCUAACACAUGCAAGUCGAACGGAGUUACUGAAGGAAAUCUUUCGGGAUGGAAAACAGGAAGCUUAGUGGCGGACGGGUGAGUAACGCGUGGGUAACGUGCCUUAUAGUGGGGAAUAACAGUGAGAAAUCACUGCUAAUACCGCAUAGACUCUACUAAUCGCAUGAUUAAAAGAGGAAAGACGGCCUCUCGAAGAAGCUGUUGCUAGAAGAGCGACCCGCGUCUGAUUAGCUAGUUGGUGAGGUAAAGGCUCACCAAGGCGACGAUCAGUAGCCGGCCUGAGAGGGUGAACGGCCACAUUGGGACUGAGACACGGCCCAA
Molecule: ribosomal RNA, 339 nt
Filed under: uncultured bacterium
Lineage: Bacteria
Description: bacterial SSU rRNA
Rfam family: Bacterial small subunit ribosomal RNA
Source: RNAcentral